Molecule: transfer RNA, 96 nt
Filed under: Pilatotrama ljubarskyi
Lineage: Eukaryota; Fungi; Basidiomycota; Agaricomycetes; Polyporales; Polyporaceae
Description: tRNA-Leu
Rfam family: tRNA
About the family: Transfer RNA (tRNA) molecules are approximately 80 nucleotides in length. Their secondary structure includes four short double-helical elements and three loops (D, anti-codon, and T loops).
Source: RNAcentral
GGUGAGAUGGCCGAGCGGUCUAAGGCGCCAGACUAAGGUGGUGCUAUCCACUGUAUCUGGUCCGAAAGGGCGUGGGUUCGAAUCCCACUCUCAUCA